UAAGACCAGUCAUCAUGUUCACUGUUAUAUUCAUGUAUCUGUGGCUUUCACUAGGUGACUCCAUGGCAGAUUCAAUAGAGCCAGAUUUCCCUCAUAAAGCUGUAGAUGAAGGUGAUGAUGUUACUCUGUCCUGCACAUACAAAUUCAGUAGUACUUUAACAAACAACUACCUGCACUGGUACAGGCAAUAUCCAAAAUCUAAACCUGAGUUCAUUCUUUAUAUUAACCAAAAAGGAGAUCUAACAUCUUCCAUGCCCCCAAGAAUAUCUGUCAAAGUUGAUGUUAAACAAGUGGAUCUGAUCAUCUCCUCUGCUGCUGUAUCAGACUCUGCACUAUACUACUUGAUCCUCAGUGAUCAAUCUGUGUUCCUCUGCUGGUCUGAUCAUGGAGACAUGAAGUCUUGGGAUGCACAUCACCUAGGAUCUUUUCUGGGUGAGAAAAUCCCAUAA
Molecule: non-coding RNA, 449 nt
Organism: Hemibagrus wyckioides
Lineage: Eukaryota; Metazoa; Chordata; Actinopteri; Siluriformes; Bagridae
Source: the annotation of a RefSeq genome assembly